AGAUUGAACGCUGGCGGCAUGCCUAACACAUGCAAGUCGAACGGGAGUAGCAAUACUCUAGUGGCGGACGGGUGAGGAAUACGUAGGAAUUUGCCCUUAAGUGGGGGAUAACCCGGGGAAACCCGGAUUAAUACCGCAUGACCUCGAAAGAGCAAAGUGGGGGAUCGCAAGACCUCACGCUUUUGGAGAAGCCUACGUCGGAUUAGCUAGUUGGUGAGGUAAUGGCUCACCAAGGCGACGAUCCGUAACUGGUCUGAGAGGAUGAUCAGUCACACCCGAACUGAGACACGGUCCGGACUCCUACGGGAGGCAGCAGUGGGGAAUAUUGGACAAUGGGCGCAAGCCUGAUCCAGCAAUGCCGCGUGUGUGAAGAAGCCUUCGGUGUAAGCACUUAGUGGAAGAAAACUACGCUACUAACACAGUGAAGUCUUGACGGUACCGACAGAAUAAGCACCGGCUAACUCUGUGCCUAGCAGCCGC
RNAcentral lists this ribosomal RNA (480 nucleotides) under uncultured soil bacterium. RNAcentral's name for it is "bacterial SSU rRNA". It matches the Rfam family "Bacterial small subunit ribosomal RNA", at positions 26 to 518 of the family's 1533-position model. The record is from RNAcentral.